Molecule: ribosomal RNA, 372 nt
Filed under: uncultured organism
Description: partial 16S ribosomal RNA
Rfam family: Bacterial small subunit ribosomal RNA
Source: RNAcentral
GUAGGUGGCAAGCGUUGUCCGGAAUUAUUGGGCGUAAAGCGCGCGCAGGCGGUCCUUUAAGUCUGAUGUGAAAGCCCACGGCUCAACCGUGGAGGGUCAUUGGAAACUGGGGGACUUGAGUACAGAAGAGGAAAGCGGAAUUCCAAGUGUAGCGGUGAAAUGCGUAGAGGUUUGGAGGAACACCAGUGGCGAAGGCGGCUUUCUGGUCUGUAACUGACGCUGAGGCGCGAAAGCGUGGGGAGCAAACAGGGAUUAGAUACCCUGGUAGUCCACGCCGUAAACGAUGAGUGCUAAGUGUUAGGGGGUUUCCCGCCCCUUAGUGCUGCAGCUAACGCAUUAAGCACUCCGCCUGGGGAUACGGCCGCAAGGCUG